CACCUGAUUCCCUAGUACGGCGAGUGAAGCGGGAAGAGCUCAAGCUUAAAAUCUCCGUGCAAGUUUUGCGCGGCGAAUUGUAGUCUAUAGAGGCGUGGUCAGCGUGGGCGCUUGGGGCAAGUUCCUUGGAAGAGGACAGCAUGGAGGGUGAUACUCCCGUUCAUCCCUGAGUGGCUCGUGCGUACGACCCGUGUUCUUUGAGUCGCGUUGUUUGGGAAUGCAGCGCAAAGUAGGUGGUAAAUUCCAUCUAAAGCUAAAUAUUGGUGCGAGACCGAUAGCGAACAAGUACCGUGAGGGAAAGAUGAAAAGAACUUUGAAAAGAGAGUUAAAGAGUACCUGAAACUGCUGAAAGGGAACCGAAUCGUUUCCAGUGUCUAUAAUCCGUGGCAUAUUUCAUUGGCGAGUGUGCGCGUGCGUGUGCUGUGGCAGUGGCUUUUUUGGCUGCGCUCGGUGUGUGUGCUGUGUGUGCUUGCUGGUGCCCUGUGCUGCGGUGGGACGUCAAGGUCAGUUCGUAUGCUGCGGGAAAUGGCUGCCGAGGAGGUAGGGCUUACGCUCCGCGUUUGUCUGUUAUAUCUUGGUGGACGAGUCGUCGCGGUUGGGACUGAGGUGCCUACAACGUGCUUUUGAGUGGGUUUGUGUCUCCGUGUGCGCCGUGUGCGGAUAGCUUGCUAUGCGUGUGUGGUUGUGUGUGGAUUGAUGCGGGCUUUAACUUGUCGCCGUUCGGGACGUUGACGAAAUGGAGCGAUCCGACCCGCUUUAAACACACCCCGACAACAA
Molecule: ribosomal RNA, 777 nt
Filed under: Phytophthora vignae
Lineage: Eukaryota; Oomycota; Peronosporomycetes; Peronosporales; Peronosporaceae
Description: partial 28S ribosomal RNA
Rfam family: Eukaryotic large subunit ribosomal RNA
Source: RNAcentral